GAUUGGUAAAACCAUCUGAAUUUCCACCAGUGAUUCUGGAACAAAAAGCGCUCCUGGAAGUAAUGGAUCAGUUAAAACGUUCACCUUCGGGAUUGGACUUCGUGUUACAGAAUACUGUCCCAUGGGGAGUAGCAUUUCAUCAUGCAGGUAUUCCAUAUUUACGAUCUGUUAUCUAGAAACCUUCUCUAAAAAUUCUCAAAUUUCUUCAUUUUGAUAUUUAUGUUCACUUAUUAAUUAACAAGACAUAUCUAAUUAACAAGAAAUAUUUUUUAAUCUCAAUAUUCUUGUAUCUCAUUUUAAGAAAUUGCAUAAUUAAGUUAAACAAGAAUAAAACAAACAUGUUCAAGUUUACUUAUCUAUGUAGUGUAUAGUACUAUAUAAAGGCUUUUUUGAAUCAUUGGGGAAGUAAAUUCUAAAAUUAUUAUGUUUCUGUACUGUUUCCUUAAAAUUUAGAGUAUGCUUGCUACUUUUAUGCCAUCUGAAUGUAUCUUUUUAUCUCAAGAGUACGAAAUAUUCUCAGAGAUAUCAAAAUCAAAUUUAUUUUAGAAAUUGUGAUAUUGCAUUUGGAGAGGGCUAGAAUGCUUAAAAUCAGAGAUUAUGGCAGUCAUUGAAUUAAAUAACUUUUUUUCAGGAAGUGUUCUAUCCAUGAUCAUAUGUGCUAAGGAUCUGAUAAAAAAUAUAUAGUUUCUACGAUUGAGAAUUUAACCUUUUUAACUUAUUUUAAAUGUUUAUCAGUAUAUAUAUAUAAAAUGGUAACAGUUAUGUGAUUUUUAAUCAUGAUGUAUACAGUAUGUAUAAUACACCUAUGUAUAUAUCAUGAUACAAAAUUUAAAAUAAAUUUUAGUAAAUCUACCAAAUUUAUUUAAAUUUUCUAAAAUUUAAAAUUUAUUUUAAAAUAAAUUUAAAAGAACACCCAAAAGAAUAGGGAUUGGGAAACUGUAGUAUGCUAUAAAUUUAGCUUGCCAUCUGUUUUUUUUUUUUUUUUUUUUUAAGUUUUAUUGGAACACUAUCAUGCCUAUUCUGUGUCUGUUUUUAUGUGACAGUGGCAGGGUAGAAUAGUUACAACAGAGUUUACCUAUUCUGCAAAAUCUAAAAAAAAGGAAAAAUUUGUUGACCCCAGAUCUAGAAGAUAUAGUAGGGGUGGCAGAUUAUGCGCUUAAAUAAAUAGACUGAUGAUUUUUCUGUUGUUGUAACAAUAGCUAAAGAAAAUCUUUGGGGUCUUGUAGCAAAUCCUCACAUUGUUUAUAAGUUAUCAACUAUAGCUUCAUUAUAUGUUAAUAAAUAUGUUUCUGGAACCCCCUUUUCUUUUCAGGGCUUACUUUUGAGGAGAGGGAUAUCAUUGAAGGAGCCUUCCGUCAAGGUCUCAUUCGAGUCUUGGCAGCAACUUCUACUCUUUCUUCUGGGGUGAAUUUACCUGCACGUCGUGUGAUUAUUCGGACUCCUAUUUUCAGUGGUCGACCUCUAGAUAUUCUUACUUACAAGCAGAUGGUUGGUCGUGCUGGCAGGAAAGGAGUUGAUACAAUGGGUGAGUUCGAAUUUAAUUGUAGUAGCAUUACGAAAGGACAGUGUCAAACUUGAAAUUUUGACUAAUACUUGGCUCCGUUUUUCACUGUACUGUUUCUUCAUUAUCCAGUAUACUUGGACAAGUCAUCUUUUUGGAUUUACUUAAUAUUUAUAGUGAAUAUCAGUUACAAUUUUCACAUAUUGUCAACCAUUGGUUUUCUACUAAUGUAGAAUUAAGAUUUUCUUUUGUAGCUUAUACAGUGAAAUGAUUCAGUGUUACAUAAAUCAAGAUGAUUUCUUUUUUGUUUAUUGUUGGCUGUUCAAAACAUUACAUAGUUCUUGAUAUAUCAUAUUUCACACUUUGAUUCAAGUGGGUUAUGAGCUUUCUUAUUACAUUAGCUGAGACAUGAUUUUUAGUUUGCAAAUAUAGUCUACUCUUUUUUAAAAAUCUUAUUUAUUUUUAUUUAUAUAAAACAGUAGAAUGCAUUACAAUUCUUAUUACAUAUAUAGAGCUCAAUUUUUUAUAUCUCUGGUUGUUUACAUAAUAACACUCAUACCAAUUCAUGUCUUCAUACAUCUACUUUGGAUAAUAAUGAUCAUCACAUUCAACCAUCAUUAAUUGGGACAUGAUUUUUAGUUUGUAAGUAUAGUCAACUCUUUAAUUCUAAUUAAUUUUCUUUUUUUUAAUAUAUUUUAUUUACAUUUUUUAGUUCUCGGCAGACACAACAUAUUUGUUUGUAUGUGGUGCUGAGGAUCGAACUCGGGCCGCACGCCUGCCAGGGGAGCGCGCUACCGCUUGAGCCACAUCCCCAGCCCCUCUAAUUAAUUUUCAUAGAUAUUAAUUCUGCUUAGGUUUAUGGUCUCAGAAGUCAGACUGGGAUUUUAAGAGCUGAGAAGCAUCCUCACACUUUUUGAAUAGGCAUUUUAUUCUUUUUUCAAGUUUAUUUAUUUAUUCUAAUCAGUUAUAUAUGACAGCAGAAUGCACUUCAAUCAUUAUACACAAGUGGAGCAGGAUUUUUCACUUCUCUGGUUGUACACAAAGUAGUCACACCAUUUGUAUCUUCAUAAAUGUACCUACGGUAAUGAUGUCCAUCUCUUUCCACCAUCUUUCCUAUCCCCAUGCCCCCUCCCUUUCCCUCCCUACCCUUUGCCCUAUCUAAAGUUCCUCCAUUCCUCCCAUAAUCUCCCCCCACCCCCAUUAUGACUCAGCAUCCACUUAUCAGAGAAAACAUUCAGUCUUUGUUUUUUUAGCAUUGGCUUUCUUCACUUAGCAUGAUAGUCUCCAGCUCCAUCCAUUUACCUGCAAAUGCUAUGAUUUUAUUCUCUUUUAACACUGAAUAAUAUUCCAUUGUGUAUAUAUACCACAGUUUCUUUAUCCAUUCGUCUAUUGAAGGGCAUCUAGGUUGGUUCCACAGUUUAGUUAUUGUGAAUUGUGCUGCUAUAAAUAUUGAUGUGGCUGCAUCCUUGUAGUGUACUAUUUUUAAGUCCUUUGGGUAUACAUUGAGGAGUGGGAUAGCUGGGUCAAAUUCCAGGUUUUCCAAGAAAUCUCCAUACUGCUUUCCAGAUUGGUUGUACCAAUUUGCAACUCCACCAGCAAUGUAUCAGUGUGUCUUUUUCUCCACAUCCUCGCCAACAGUUAUUGUUGUUUCUAUUCUUAAUAGCUGCCAUUCUGAGUGGAGUGAGAUGAAAUCUUAGAGUAGUUAAUUUGCAUUCUUUAAUUGCUAGAGAGGUUGAAUAUUUUUUCAUAUAUUUGUUGAUCGAUUAUAUAACUUCUUCUGAGAGUGUUCAGUUCCUUAUCCCAUUUAUUGAUUGGGUUAUUUCUUUUUUUGGUGUUAAGUUUUUGAGUUCUUUAUAUAUCCUGGAGAUUAGUGCUCUAUCUGAUAUGCAUGUGGUAAAAUUUGCUCCCAUUCUGUAGGCUCUCUCUUCACUUCACUGAUUGUUUCUUUUGCUGAGAAGAAGCUUUUCAGUUUGAUUUAUUGAUUCUUGAUUUUAUUUCUUGUGCUAUUGGAGUCUUGUUAAGGAAGUCAGGACCUAAUCUGACAUGAUGAAGAUUAGGGCCUACUUUUUCUUCUAUUAGGUGCAGGGUCUCUGGUCUAAUUCCUAGGUCCUUGAUCCACUUUGAAUUGAAUUUUGUGCAUGAUGAAUUUUGUUUUGUAUGGAUUUCCAGUUUCCUCAGCACCAUUUGUUGAAGAGUCUAUCUUUUCUCCAAUAUAUGUUUUUGGCUCCUUUGUCUAGUAUGAGAUAAUGUAUAUUUAUGUGGGUUUGUCUCUGUGUCCUCUAUUCUGUACCAUUGGUCUACAAGUCUUUGUUGGUGCCAAUACCAUUCUAUUUUUGUUACUAUUACUCUGUAAUAUAAAUGUAAGGACUGAUAUAUUGAUGUCACCUGGUUCUUUCUUCUUGAUAAGGAUUGCUUUGGCUAUUUUGGGUCUCAUAUUUUUCCGGAUGAAUUUCAUGAUUGCUUUUUCUGUUUCUAUGUUGAAUGCCAUUGGGAUUUUGAUUGGAAUUGCAUUAAAUCUGUAUAGUGCUUUUAGUAGUAUGGUCAUUUUGACAAUAUUAAUUCUGCCUGUGAAUAGGCAUUUUAUAUUCCACUUUUUCCUCCCAAUUGAUUCUGGCUCAGAAAACACUCUUUCAGUUUCUUAUCUUGUACUGGCAAGCAAUGAUAUUACCAGCAAUCCAUACAAAAUUUUUUGACUUAAGCAAUGAAGAAACUGGUUUCAACUAAAUAUCAAGAGAGAAAAAAAAAUAUUAUUUUGAAUCUACUAUACCAUUGAGAUCAUUUGAUGUUUUACUAAAUUGUUAAAGAAACUUAGGAAGAAUAUUCUCUGUCAUUUCAUCUUUCUCCUAUAGGAAUGUUAUACUAUAUAUGCCCCCCAAAACAAAAACAAAAACAAAAAAAAUCCCAUCAAUAUCAAAAAAACCAAUAAAAACCUUUGCAACUACUAAAGAGAAAUUAAGAAAUCCAGCAGAGAAACAAAAAGUGUUAAUGGAAAAAUAGGUGGGUUAUUUUGGGUACUAAAAGCUGAGUAGGAUAAGCAGAGAAACAAAAAGUGUUAAUGGAAAAAUAGGUGGGUUAUUUUGGGUACUAAAAGCUGAGUAGGAUACUGAGGAAGUGACUUUUAGAACCACCCAAUUUUUCACAUGAACUCCCCAAAUAUAGUUGAUUCUUAUUAUUUAUAGAUUCCAUAUUUGUGAAUUUCCCCAUUUAUUAGAAUUUUCUCAGAAAUCUGGGGCCUUAUUUUAUUUUUUAUUUAUUCAGAAUUCUGGGGGGUUUGCGGAUAUGUACAAAUCUGCAAAAAAUCUGAGUCUUUGCAAGUACACUUUUCUGCUGAGGUCAUAAGUCUGCCUUCUUCCUUCAGCUCCUUUACUGUAAACAAACAUCCUUUAAGGGUCUAUUUAGUGCCACAUUUUUCAUAAUUUUAUGUAUUUUCAUGGUGAUUUUUGUUUAAAAUGAUUUCUAGAUAUAGUACUUCUAGCUAGUAAUUCCUUUCUGCAUUAAGUCUAGAUGUGCCUUCUAGAAAAAUAUUUUAAAUGAGCUUUGUUCAGGCAUGAGCUAUAGCUGUGUUGUCUGUAAGUGCAGUUAAUAAAUCAAUAAUAUAUAUUAAAUAACAUAUCUUUAAGCAGAGACAGAUGAAACAAGGUUUAGUGUUCAAUGAUGAAAAGGUUGUGACUCUAGUCCUAGGCUCACAGGAAAUUCCUCUGUUCUCCCCCUGUGCAAUGAUGCAGAAUUCACCUUUUGGUGACUCUAUAGAAUGUAACUACCACAGAUAACAAGAAUUGACUAUGAUGUAUUGGUGACUGGAUUAGUUAGAAUAUAAAUUUAUUGCUAUAAUGAAAGUCGACAUAUGUAAAUAAUAUAGAAUUAAAUUUCUUCCUGCCUCCCUUCUCCCUUCUCCCUUCUCCCUUCUCCCUUCCCUUCCCUUCCCUUCCCUUCCCUUCCCCUUCCCUUCCCCUUCCCUUUUCCCUUCCCUUUUCCCUUUUUGGUACUGGGGUUUGAACCCAGGGGCAUUUUACCAUUGAACCAUAUCCCCAGUCCUUUUUAAUUUUUUUAAUUAAUUUUUUUUGAGACAGGGUCUCAGUAAAUUGCUAAGGUUCUUGGUAAGUAGCUGAGACUGGCCUCAAACUUGGGAUCCUUCUGUCUCAGCCUCCUGAGAAAUUAGUUUCUUUCUCAUAAUGGUUUGCCACCUGGGGUUGACAUGCUGGUGCAACGUGUUAGACACCUCGUCUUUCAUUUUGUUUUUCCAGCAAUAUAGUUUCUGUCCUUUGGCACAAGAUGGCUAGUCCAGUCUCUUUCAUCAUUUGCAUUUGAAACAUCAGGAAGAGGGAGAUGAGGAAAUAAAACACAUGCCCUGCCCUUAAUGGGCACCACCUAGAAGUUGCCUAUAAUAUUUCUCCUCACAUACAGUUGACCAGAACUUAGUCACAUGAUUAUAUUCCCCAAUUGUAAAGAGGCUGGGGAAUCUAAUCUUUAGCUGAGUGGCUGUGUGCUGGACUUAAGGGUUUUAUUAAAGGAAGACUGAGAGGAUGGGUAUUUGGACACAACUGUCAUUCUCAGACCCAGCAACAAAUGACUCAUUUUACAAUCUCUGAAGGAUUAUUGCUCUGCUUCUUUUUUAAGCCCUAAAUAUUUUGAUGAUUAUAAAAGCUUCCAAAUUAUUAGAUUUCCCUUAUGAUAGGUAUCAGAGAAGUUUAUCCUGUUUUCUCUUAUUUUACUACAAAUUAUGCAAAUGGUAUGUUUUGUAAGGGUGGGGGGAAUAAAGUAAGGUACUCCUAUUCCUAUUUGCCUCACCCUACCCUUCUCCAAACUGGUUUCUCAGUAGAUUCACAAUUCCAGAGAAAGAAAUGUAAGUCUCUUUUAUGUAGAUAUUCUUUCUUCAGGUCCAGAGGGCCUUUAAGUUAACAAAAAAGAUAAGGAGGUCUUAUUUACCUUAGCUUGUGUUUAUCAUAUGAAGAACAAUUGGAAGAUUGGUUCUCUGGGUUAAUUAUGAAGCCUUAAGUCAUAUGGUAUUACAUCAGAAUUAAAAAUACCUUAAUAACUCCAUUUCUUAAUUCUUGAAGUCUUUUGAGCUUUUGACCUUGCAUUCCUAUCAGGAUGGCAUAUAACUUGCUCAGAACUUUAUGCAAGUAGGGAAUGUGGGAAUAUGGUGUUUUAUAUUCACCAUGAAGAUUUAAAUGCUUGGUUUCACUUUUCAUACUGUGUAGUAUCUUUGUAACUUCUGUGCAUUUCAUAGAUUGUUAUUAACAUUUCCUGGAGAGUAUAUGGCAUUUUAUUUAGAUAACAUGGUGUUUUAUUUAGAUCAUCUGUAGAUUAUGUGGAAUCUUCCAUUGUAGGAUGAUGGUGCUUUGUGUCAAAAUAAUGAUUUACAGGGUCAACAGUCAGUAAUAAAUGUUUGAUUGUAAAUAGCUUCAAGUUCCCUCUUGUGGUAUCAAUGAGACCAGACAAGUGGGAGUAGGAACCUGUAUAAAUAUAUAUUGGCAUUUAUUUGGACAUCGCCGCAGUCUGGCUGGGCACACAAUCACGAGCCACCACACAGCUUGUAGAUUCAAACAGCAACUCUUUAUUCCCGAACUCACACCAGCCGUCUACAAUCACGUUCUGGGGAAAUCCANGCCUUGGUCCUUGAGCAAGGUCACGUACAUUCAAUGUCACUGCAACAUGUCAGCAACAUGGGGUACGCUGGCAAGGAAAUUGUCAUACCUACUUGGCUAAUGGCUCCCAGCAGGACAUUUUCAUAAAUCUUGCCCAUCCUCCAAAAGGGUAGUCCAUUUAAUUAAAUAAACGAAUUUCUCAGGAGCCUGAGACAGGAGUAUCCCAAGUUUGAGGUCAAUCUCAGCAACUUAUCAAGACCCUCAGCAAUUUAAUGAGACCCUGUGGCAAAAAAAUAAAAUAAAAAUAAAAGGACUGGGGAUAUGGUUCAAUGGUAAUGUACCCCUGGGUUCAAACCCCAUUUCCAAAAAAGAAAGGAAGGAAGGAAGAAAGAAGGUAGGAAGAAUUUAUUUCUAUCUUGUUUAAAUUUGUUGACUUUUAUUACAGCAAUAAAUUUAUAUUCUAACUAAUCUAAUCAAUAAAUCAUAGUCAAUUCUUGUUAUCUGUAAUAGUUACAUUCUAUAUUUAAACAACUCAGUAGCUUAUUAUUUUACUGCUAAUACUAGUUAGCUCAUUUUGUAGUGCUUCUUCCUUCAGCUGGGUUGUUUUGUGGGCAUUCAAAGAGUCAGGUGACAUUUUAUUCAUGUUUUUAAAAGCUGGAUAUUGACAAAUUUUAAUUAUACUUUUUUUUUUUUUGUAUUGGGGAUUGAACUUAGGGGUGCUUUGCCACUAAGUUAUAUCCUAUAUCUCACGUCCUUUCUAUUUUUUAGUUUGAGACUGGGCCUCCUAUGUUGUUGAGGCUGACCUUGAACUUGUGAUCCCACUGCUUCAUAGAUUAUAGGUGUGUUCCACCAUAACUAGCAUAAUUGUAUAUCUUUAUUGGGUACAAAGAGAUGCUAUGAUAUAUGUAUAGGAAGUGAUUGAAUCAAGCUAAUUAGCAUAUGCAUCACCUCAAAUAUUGAUACUUCCUGUAUAACUACAUAUUAUAAACUUUGAUCAACAUCUCUCCAUUUUUUCCACUCCCAGCCUCUAGUAACAACCAUUCAGAUGUUAUAGUUAAAGCUUCAUCCCAGGGUUUCAUAAACUGACUUCCAGACCACUCAUGUAUAAUCGAAUCAAGCCUUUAUUGAAGCACACCGGUGGCGGCUGACCAGAACAUAAAGCUGUUCCCCUGAUCAGCCCCGAACAAUUGCAAGGGCACUCCUUAUAAGCCUGAAAACCGCAAAAAGGAUGUUUGGGGGGCGGGGGUGGGGGGUCUAGCCAAUGCAAGCAAGCCAGGUUACAGAAGCGGGUCAGUGCAGUCAAGUAGGGGGAAGCCUAACCAAUCACAGUGAGCCCAGUCACCCCAGUUACAGAAACAGAGCCCCGUUACCCUAGUUACAGAAACAAUACCUCAUUAGAUAGUUUUGUGUUCUUAAAGGUUUCUAUAGCAAAAGGAAAAGAACAUCUUGCCCCAGUCAUGACCCUUCUACUUGGCAUUGUUGUUUUAAAGGAUGAAGUCAUAAAACAAAAUGGAGUCACAUUUGCUCCUACUACCACACAGCUCUCUGCUCCUUUGUGUUCAAAGUUUUUAAAUUUUAGAUUCCACAUAUAAGUAAAAGAUGUGGUAUUUGUUGGGAGUCUCCCUGAGAUCUCCCCAGGCCUUUCAAACAUGGCGGUGGGCAAAUUGCCAGUAGGCAGCUAGAACUCCCUGGGCCUUAAAGAUAAGAAGCCCCUAAUGCAACAUGGUGGCGGACAAGUUGCCAGUGGGCGGAUAACAAGUUGUUCUGAAAACCUCGUGGACAGUUCGUGCCCCCCAUGAAUUUUAUGCAGGGCGGACGUGCGUUCACCGUAGGUGAUGAACUGACCUUUACUAUGAUUGGCCCCGGGAGCUUCCUGGUUUAAGAUAACUGACUCUCACUUUCUAUAUAAACUAGCACCAGCUUGUAGUAAAGUGCUUCAUCUUUGUCACUGCUGUCUGUACGUGCAUUUUAAUCUCCAAUGACGAACCUUGGCCUUUCAGUAUUUAUUUUCUGUGCCUGAAUAUUCCACUAGCAUAAUAUCUUUCAGGUUCAUCCAUGUUGUCACAAAUACCAUAAUUUCCUUCUUUUUAAAGGCUGGAUAGUAUGCUAAUGUGUAUUUAUGCCACAUUAUCUUUAUCUUUUUAUCCAUUGAUGGGCACUUAUGUUCAUUCCAUAACUUGGUUAUUGUAAAUAGUGUUGCAGAAAAUCCAGGGAUGCAAGUAUCUCUUGAUAUACUGAUUUCAAAUUUUUGGCAUACAAACCUAGAAGUGGGAUUGCUGAAUCAUAUGAUUUUUGUAUGGGCUAUGUUUUCUAUUGUAUUCUGCAAUUCAGUCAUUAUAUUUUUCAUCUCUAGAAUUUAUAUUUCUUUCUGUUUUUUUUUUCUAUUUCUUUGUCAAACUUCUCAUUUUGUUCAUGUACUGUUUUCCAAAUUUUAUUUAAUUUUUAUCUGUAUAAUCUUGCAGUUCAUGGUCUUUCUUAAAAAAUAUUUUGGAUUCUUUGUCUAUUAUUUCAUACCUCUCCAUUUCUUCACGGUCCAUUGUUAGAGCUUUAUUAAGUUUCUUUUGGAAGUAUGAUUUGCUGAUUCUUUGUAAUUCAAUGUUUUUGUCCUGGUGUCCAUACUGAAACCAGAUUUUGAGAUAAAACUCUGUUCUCUACUUCUUUUGGUAUGUGUGUAAGCUGCAGGCCUCUGCAGCCAAGAAAGCCGCUUUUAGUUUUAGCAGCUAAUCACAACAGGGGAUGCAUACUGGCAUCAGCUCUGAAGGCAAAGCUGGAUUCUCCUCCACUAUCAUUGAGUGGUGUGUUGCUGCUUUCAGUUAUUGCAGCUCUAAAUGGGUGCUAUGGCCCCCAAUAUUGCAGUAGGCUCUAGCAGCUCUAGCAGCAAGGAUUUUGUCUUGCAAAUCUGAAGAAUAAAAUUCACACCACAGUGGAAGGCCAGAGUGAAAGGAGUAGGAUUUAUUCAAGUAUGAAUAGAAACAGAACUCCUGUAGGGGCAAGAGGGGAACCCCAUAGGGGUUACUGCCUGAGUGUGCUAAUAUAUAGGUUUAUGUAGCACUAGGGUUCACACUGUUGGUUCAAACUUAUGCUGAUCAGGAUUUGGAAAAGAACUAACACUAUUGGUUAAACCUUGAGCCUGAACUUCCAUUCAAGUUUGUUCCACUUCUGUGUUUGUUGUUUUCUGAUUGCCUUUAGCUCAAAAUAAUCUUUAUGCUCAAGUAGCAAAUUUGGGGGUAGCAUAUUCUGAUUUCCUUCUAUCCAAAGUUCUGUUUUUCUACAAUUUGGGGGGAAACAGGAGAUUGAGGUGGUCUGAUUGUGCAUGCUUGGGUGUGGCACUGUGUGGAGCAGGCACUGGGCCCAGUGUACGAAAGGUCAGUCAGCACCCCUGGCUUACCUAGCCUCACGCCCCAGAGGGUAUGGCAGGCUUCAUGUGGCCAGGGCCAGUGCUCCAGUCCACCUAGCUGCUCCUCCACAGCUCUAGGAUAACUUUAAAACUUGUAUGGAAACAGCCCCUUCUUUAUAGGUGUUCUUCAGAAGGGAUAGACUCUCGCUAAUUAGUGUGACCGAUGAUUCUGUGUGAGCCAGCUUCUAGUGAACCCAGGUAGUCAGAGCCUGCUUUUGGGUUUCUGCCUUUGCUUUAAUUUCAAGUGGGGCUACUGACUCGGCUCUGCUUUUGAGUCAGAACUGUCUGAACUCUGCAGUUAGGGAGAGUUGCUGGUUAGACAUUGCAAUCGACUAUGAUUGGAAUGAGUCCCAGGGUGUAUUUCCUGGCUAGAUGGUACCAAAAUUUGAGAUCUUUAGAGGCCAGUCUUGCAAGCUGGACCUUGAUGUUAAGCAGAGCUGCUGCUCAGUCUGGAUGGAACCAGCUGCUAUGCCAAGAAGUGCAUAAUCAAGGUUUGCCUUCCUGCCUAGAUAGGACCUUGAGUUGUGUUUCACAGAGCACUGUUAAAACUUCCAGGUGUGGCAGAACUAGUCCUUGCUCUUUGCUGAAAUGUGCUGUGGUGGUUAUCUCUCUCCCUGUACAGAGUCUUGGAUCUGGCAUUGGGGCUAGACCUGGAGGCUGGCUAUCCAGGGAUCCAAGCCAGUCAGAACUUCCCACACCACUCUGAGUGACCAGUUCAUAGCAAGCAUUGCUGUUGUGCACAGUAAUGUUGUUGGCUGGUAUUUUUAGGCAGGUACCCCUGCUGGCAGGUACACAGAGCUUCCACCAAGACCUGCCUGCUGUUCACCGUGAGCUCACCUCCUGUUUUGUUUCUACCUGACCCUAGGUGAUCUAGGUGGGCUUCUUGGGAUUAUAGUGGAAUGCUAGGAAGCUACAUGUCUGCUUCUGAUUCUCUUUUCCUACUAUAGAAACCAUGAGUCCUAGGGAUGCCUCUCCUUUGGCACUGUGAUGACCUUUGGACACUGUGCUCUGAUGUAGUCAAAAUGAAGUCAUUUAUUUUAGUUCUCUGUGUGUGUGUGUGUGUGUUUGCUGGGGUAGAGGGAGGGAGGCUGACAGGGUAGGAUUCUGUUGUCAUGCAGAUGCCUCAGGUUUAUUUUCAAGUUUGGAGGUCUUCACAAAGGAUCCUUUCUGGGGAGAGGGAAUGGGUUGGUAGUGAAACCUGGGAGCUCCUAUUCUACCUUUUGCAGUCAUCUUGUGUCUUUUUUUCAUAAUGGCACCUUUCUUUUUGUAAUUAUGUCUAGAUAAGUAGUCAAUGAUUAUCCAGUUUAUAGUCAUUUCAUUUUAUCCUGUCAUUCUCAACUUGGCAGUCAGUGAUAGGAAAGCAUCAACUGUACAUCUGUACUUUUUCUGCCUGGUAUGGUUAGGAUACAGUAUCACAAUGCCAGUUUUAUUUAGAGGAUAUACAAUCAAUCAACAAAUACAUGAAAAAAUGUUCAUCAUCUCUAGCAAUCAGAGAAAUGCAAAUCAAAACUACUCUAAGAUAUCAUCUCACUCCAAUCAGAAUGGCAGCUAUUAUUAAGACAAACAACAAUAAAUGUUGGUGAGGAUGUGGGGAAAAAGGUACACUCAUACAUUGCUGGUGGGACUGCAAAUUGGUGCAGCCAAUAUGGAAAGCAGUAUGGAGAUUCCUUGGAAAUCUGGGAAUGGAACCACCAUUUGAUCCAGCUAUCCCUCUCCUUGGUCUAUACCCAAAGGACUUUAAAUCAGCAUACUACAGGGACACAGCCAUAUCAAUGUUUCUAGCAGCACAAUUCACAAUAGCUAAACUGUGGAGCCAACCUAAAUGGCCUUCAAUAGAUGAAUGGAUAAAAAAAAUGUGGCAUAUAUACACAUGGAAUUUUAUUCAGCAAUAAAAAGAGAACAAAAUCAUGGCAUUUGCAGGUAAAUGGAUAGCACUGGAGAAGAUAAUGCUAAGUGAAGUUAGCCAAUCCCCAAAAAACAAAUGCCGAAUGUUUUCUCUGAUAUAAGGAGGCUGAUUCAUAGUUGGGUAGGGAGGGGGAACAUAGGAGGAAUAGACAAAGUCUAGAUAGGGCAGAGGGGUGGGAGGGAAAGGGAGGGGGCAGGGGGUUGGCAAGGAUGGUGGAAUGUGAUAGACAUCAUUAUCCAAAGUACAUGAAUGAAGACACGAAUUGGUGUCAACAUAUGUUAUAUACAACCAGAGAUAUGAAAAAAUUGUGCUGUAUAUGUGUAAUAAAAAUUGUAAUGCAUUCCACUGCCAUUUAUUUUUUAAAGAAAUCAAUAAAAAAAUUCACACUCAUGCCCUUCAUUUUGCUUAUUGAACAUCGUAUUUAACUGUUGCUUUUCCCACAUCAUUGGAUUCAGUUUUGAAAAUAAUUCUUUACUCAAUUAUCAUAAUAACCUAAAGCAUUUAGAUUAAAUAUUAUAAUGUGACUUUUUAAGAUAUUUAUAAGUAUUUUUAAAUUUAUUUGUUAUCACUGUGACUAGUAAUUUAUAUUUGCAUUUUACUUUAUAGUUUUUAAAGUAUCUCUACUACCUAAUUAUUAAAUAAUAAUGGUUGGUCCUUUAGUUGAAGGAAAAGAGCUAUUUCUGUAUUAACUUAGGUUCUGCAUCUGGGGCCUGCUAAAUAAUUGAUAAUGGAUUACCUGAGAAAAGGCAUGCAAACUUCAUUUGAUAUUGAUAAUUUAAUUUUUAUGUGCAUGGAAGCUUUCAUGGAAAUGAAGAUUCCCACAAGGCUGUUAGACCUAGGGUCUUAUAGUUUAUAUGAUAUUUCUCCAUAAAUUGUAGACAAGUGAAAAGACAAAGGAAAAGGUGUUUGAUCUUCUUAGGGCACUAAAUCAGGAGAAGAUUAUAUACAUAGGAAACUAAUGGCAGAAGUUUAUAUAAGUAAUAUUUGUUUGUACAGACCUAUCUCAAAAAGGACCUUCUUGGCUGGGGUUGUGGCUCAGUGGUAGAGUGCCUGCCUAGCAUGUGUGGGGCACUGGGUUCGAUUCUCAGCACCACAUAUAAAUAAAUAAAAUAAAGAUCCAUUGACAGCUAAACAAUAAUAAAAAAAAAAGGACCUUCCGUCUCCUAUGAUAAGGGUUCUUCUCUUGGUAUGGGUGAGGAAAGACGAAACAUAUUCACAAAGGGAAAUUUAUGUCUUACUUUAGGCAGACUGGGAGAGGACAAAGCAUUCUCUCUGUGUUUGUUGUUUUCUUAUUGCCUUUAGCUCAAAAUAAUCUUUACACCUAAGUAGCAAAUUUUAGGGUUGCAUAUUAUGGUUUCCUUGUAUCCAAAGUGUAAGAAGUAAAAGCAUUAGACAUAAUGCUAUGACCGUAACAACCAUUAUCAUCUUUUACCUCUUUUUAAACAACUAAAACCAAUUAAGUUCUCUUUAUCAGGUAUCUUAUGGAAAUGGAUUGGGGUUUUGACAACCUAUGGUUUUUGUUUAUAGGUGAGAGUAUCUUAGUUUGUAAGAACUCUGAGAAAUCAAAGGGCAUAGCUCUACUUCAGGGAUCUCUAAAACCUGUUCGCAGCUGUCUGCAAAGACGAGAAGGAGAAGAAGUAACUGCCAGUAUGAUACGAGCUAUUCUGGAGGUAAGACAGGGUUCAAUAAACUACCACUUGGCUCUUUUAUACCUAUGUUAACAUGGUAGUACUUUAGUAGGUGAAAAUAUUUUUGUUGUUGUUGUAUGAGGAACAGAACUCAGGAAUGCUCUACCAAUGAGCUACAUCUUUGAUCCCCUCCCCCCUCGCUUUUUAAAAAUUCUAGGACAGGAUCUAAAUUUCUGAGGCUGGCCUUGAAUUUGAGGACUGGCCUCCUACCUCAGCCUCUUGAAUAGCUGGGAAUACAGGCAUGUGCCUCUGUGCCGCCUGGCUAAUAUGUGAAAAAUCUUGUCUCUCUUUCUCUUUUUAAAUUAUUUUAUAUUUUUAGCCUUCCCAAAUCUGAAUUUGUAUGUGUUUCAGCUAGUGCUCUAUCAAUUCACUUCAAAAUAAUAAUUAAAAACUGAAUGCCAGAUGGUUCUUUUCACUUUUUAGAUAUUCUUUAUUGUUUUUUGAAGUUAAAGGUAACAAAAAAUGUACGCAGUUCCUCCAUCUAGAUCAUAUCUUAUGACACUAAAAUAAAAUCAUGGUACAACUAUAUAUGAUUAGAAGUUUACAAUAAUACAGAAAAAUCUCAACAAUAUUCAACAAUAGUACAACAAAUUCUGUACAAUAAUACAGAAAAAUAAAACCUUUCUUUGCUCAGAUUCCUCGAAGGUAACCCCCUGAUGAGCAUUUCAAGUUUGAUUCAGACAUGUUUUUUGUGCUUAUAUCAGCAUGCCUUGGUGUUGCUUUCAGCACCAGUACUAGUGAUAUUGGUGCCUCUAUGUGAAUUCUUUUCUAAUCAGUUUGGGAAAAAAGAAAAUACUUGAUAACAUAGGGUCAGGAAUGAUGUCCAAAGUAGACACAUUAAUACAUUGCUGAAACUCUUUUGGAGAGCAAUUUGGCCUUACCUGCUAAAAUUGAAACUACAUAUACCCAUUUGCCUAGCAGUUCUACAUCUAGGAAUUUUAUCCAGGAAUAUAUUUGUGAAAUUAUAUUAAAUUAAAUGUAAAAAAUAUUUUUAUAGCACUAUUAGUUAAUAACAAAAAAAUGGAAAGAAACUAAGAUACCAUUAAUACGAAUUUUAUGGCAAAAGAUGCUUUGUGGUCAUUAAAAAGCUCUGUGAUGAUAUGUGUCCAAUAUAAAGUAAAAGAAGGCAAGAGACAAAUUUGUAUAUAUAAUAAAGUAGCUAUGGGUAAAAUAAUAUCUGCAAUAAGUGACUUCAUGUUUUCUUGCACCUAUUCCCAGCUUUCUGUGUGGGAAGUAUUCAAUAGUAGCAUUCCUCCUAUGUGCCUUAGAGGAAGGAUGAAAACAUUUGAUUUGGUUUAUGGCCUUGAACUGUCACUACCUCUUUCAUGUGUAUUGUUAGUUCUGAAAUUUCAAAUGGAUAAUGAUUCAUUUAUUUUUGUUUAUAAGCAAGUACUAUGUCUACCUACCUUGAGGGAAAACUUUUCAUGUUGUUAGCAGGUACUAUCUAUAUUUGCAGUAUGUGAUGAUGGAAGAGAGUUAAUAAGAGUAUCUAAGAUUCUGAAACUAUUUUAAGAGAAUAAAAUCUCUUAUAUUAUGAAGGCCUGUAUAUCUUAUAAAAAAUUUACAGAAGUUUUUAAACAUUUUCUAUCAGAUAAUAGUUGGUGGUGUGGCAAGUACAUCAAAAGAUAUGCAGAUGUAUGCUUCUUGUACAUUUUUGGCUGCGAGUAUUAAAGAAGGGAAGCAGGGAAUUCAGAGAAAUCAAGAUUCUGUCCAACUUGGAGCAAUCGAGGCCUGUGUGAUGUGGCUACUAGAAAAUGAAUUCAUCCAGAUUACAGAAGACAGUGAUGGAACAGAAGGUAAAUAUGAGUUCUCAGUUAAAAUUUAUUUACUGUUUCAUCUUCUACUCACUUUUCUGAAAAUCUUGCUUAUAAAUUUCUGCAUGUUAGGUAAGAUUCUGUUUGUAAAAUUGAUGAGAGCUGAGAAGGUUAAUACAGGAAUAUAGAAAGACAAUGUUUUGUUUUAUUUUAUAUUAUUUUUAACAUUUGCUCCUGUGUUUCUUCACUCCCAAACCAGGAAAGGUGUAUCGUCCAACACAUCUUGGUUCUGCUACCCUUUCUUCAUCACUUUCUCCAACUGAUACCUUAGAUAUUUUUGCUGACCUCCAAAGAGCAAUGAAGGGUUUUGUUUUAGAGAAUGAUCUUCAUAUUGUCUAUCUGGUAAG
Molecule: long non-coding RNA, 16241 nt
Filed under: Marmota monax (woodchuck)
Lineage: Eukaryota; Metazoa; Chordata; Mammalia; Rodentia; Sciuridae
Source: RNAcentral